UAGACAAUAGUACGAAAGUAGGGUGGCGCACGGGUGCGUAACGCGUAGGUAAUCUGCCCUGAGGUCUGACAUAACCCGUCGAAGGCGGGCUAACAUCAGAUGAUAUAUAAUCACGACAUCGUGGAAAUAUCAAAUCUUCGGAGCCUUGGGAUGAGCCUGCGUCUGAUUAGGUAGUUGGCGGAGUAAUAGCCCACCAAGCCUACGAUCAGUAGCUGGUCUGAGAGGAUGAUCAGCCACACUGGAACUGAGACACGGUCCAGACUCCUACGGGAGGCAGCAGUAAGGAAUAUUGCUCAAUGGGGGGAAACCCUGAAGCAGCAACGCCGCGUGAAGGAUGAAAUACUUUUGUAUGUAAACUUCUGUAAGAUGGGAAAAAUAUUCUCCUCGGGAGAAUUGAUUGUACCAUCAGAGUAAGCCCCGGCUAACUACGUG
RNAcentral lists this ribosomal RNA (432 nucleotides) under uncultured bacterium. RNAcentral describes it as "bacterial SSU rRNA". It matches the Rfam family "Bacterial small subunit ribosomal RNA", at positions 74 to 507 of the family's 1533-position model. The record is from RNAcentral.